Molecule: RNA transcript, 2635 nt
Organism: Mangifera indica (mango)
Lineage: Eukaryota; Viridiplantae; Streptophyta; Magnoliopsida; Sapindales; Anacardiaceae
Gene name: F-box/kelch-repeat protein At1g55270-like
Exons: 3
Source: RefSeq, a predicted model, not a curated record
UGCUUGACCAAGAAAAUUAAAAAUAAAAUCAGUUGUUUCUCUCUAGAUCAAGACUAAUCUAGAGAGAGAGCCUACACAACUCAAACACUUUCACAUUCAUUCGUUUGAGUUUCAGCUUUGAGUUUCGUUGUUGAAAGUUGUGAAGUUCCUUCUCCUGAUUUGUUUGUUUGUUUGUUUGUUUGCAUUUCCAAAGUUUGAGUUUAAAUUGAAUUAAAUCGAGUUAAAUUUAAGAUAAGACAAAGUUAACACAAGAACAACGACUUGAAGAACAGAAGCAAGGCAAAAAAAGGUGUCUCCUUUUGUUACUGUUAUUGUUUGAUCAAGUCUCUUGUUCUUGAUCUAAGUCUCAAGAUUGUGUCUUUAUGAAUCUUUGUUGGUGAAGAUGGAGCAGCAGCAGAGCCAAUCUUCCAAUGUUCUUAGAGGGUAUAGAGUUCAAGCUCCAUUGGUUGAUUCUGUAUCAUGCUAUUGCAAAGUAGAUUCUGGACUAAAGACUGUUGCUGAAGCUAGGAAAUUUGUCCCAGGUUCAAAACUUUGUAUCCAGCCUGAUAUCAAUCCUGAUGCACACAAAAGCAAAAACUCACGUAGGGAGAGGAGCAGAGUCCAGCCACCACUCCUCCCUGGGCUUCCUGAUGAUCUUGCUAUUGCAUGUUUGAUACGAGUUCCUCGUGCUGAACAUCGAAAACUUCGUUUGGUUUGUAAGAGAUGGUCUCACCUCCUAAAUUCCAACUUUUUUUAUUCUCUUAGAAAAAGCCUGGGAAUGGCUGAAGAGUGGGUUUAUGUCUUCAAGCGAGAUCGUGAUGGAAAGAUCUCGUGGAAUGCUUUUGAUCCUGUCUAUCAGCUCUGGCAACCCCUUCCACCAGUUCCUAAAGAAUAUUCAGAAGCUUUAGGUUUUGGCUGUGCUGUUCUUAGUGGUUGUAACUUGUACUUAUUUGGAGGAAAAGACCCAUUGAGGGGCUCUAUGCGACAGGUCAUCUUCUACAAUUCACGGACUAAUAAAUGGCAUAGGGCACCUGGUAUGCUUCGGAAACGUCAUUUCUUUGGUUCUUGUGUUAUAAAUAACUGCCUUUAUGUGGCUGGUGGGGAAUGUGAAGGAACCCAAAGGACUCUCCGAUAUGCUGAAGUUUAUGAUCCUAACAAGCACCGGUGGCGCUUUAUUUCAGAUAUGAGCACAGCAAUGGUGCCCUUUAUAGGAGUUGUCUAUGAUGGAAAGUGGUUUCUAAAGGGCCUUGGGUCCCACAAUGAAGUCAUGAGUGAAGCCUAUGAUCCUGAAACAAAUGCCUGGACUCCAGUCAGUGCUGGUAUGGUUGCAGGUUGGCGUAACCCGAGCAUCUCUUUAAAUGGACGGCUUUAUGCUUUGGAUUGCCGGGAUGGAUGCAAACUUAGGGUUUAUGAUGGAGCAACAGACACUUGGAGCAGAUUUAUAGAUAGCAAAAUUCAUAUGGGGAGAUCACGUGCAUUUGAGGCUGCGGCAAUUGUUCCCCUGAAUGGGAAGCUUUGCAUCAUCCGCAACAACAUGAGCAUUAGUCUGGUUGAUGUUUCUAGUCCUGACAAACAAAUUGAGACUAACCCUCACCUAUGGGAAAACAUUUCUGGGAAAACUGGUCAUUUAAGGGCUCUUGUUACAAAUUUAUUGUCUAGCAUAGCUGGCCGAAGUGGUCUGAAAAGUCAUAUUGUUCACUGUCAGGUGCUGCAAGCAUGAGUUUUAGUAGUACUUUGCUCAUUCUUCCCAUACCAUUCUUGUAUUUCCGUCACAAAGUGCAGUUUCACCUAUUUGGGAAUCUGCACUUUGUGAGACAGAAAGCUGCAUAUGCUAUCUUUACCACACUGUUCUUGCAGCUUUGUGGAGAUUGAAUCAAUAGUGAUAUUCUGUGGGAGUGACUUCUAGUCACUCUUGUCAAGUUGUUUUAUCAUGUGGAGGCUUGAGAAGGCAAAAAUGAAGGAUAAUUUUAUGCGUGUUUUAAGAAGCUUACUAGAACAUUCAUAUGCGAGGCCACUUUGGUGACUGAUGACACCUUUCAUGUCAUCAUGUAUUCACAAGUCAAGGUUGAUUCGCUGUUGAUUUCGGCAAUAGAAUUAUAAGGCCAUUCCUUAACAUUCAUGAAGCGAGAGCAGAUACUGAUCAUCUCCUGAUAGUGUUUGAACGACUCCUCUCUGAAUGAAAGCAUAGGCUUGAACAUUGAUGUCUUCCUUCUCUUUAUCCUCUACUACAGUCAGCUUCCUUGUCCGCUCUUUUUUCUUCAUAUCUCCUUUCAUUCAUCUCAUUAUGACACUCCAUAUAAAUGCUCGACUGAUCAAGUUGAGUUUCCACCUUUCACAAAUUCGAAGUAAUUGAGUCAUGUCUUUGCAUUGAUCACGAAACAUGACAACCUAAAUGUAUCCCUUUGUUCAGAAGUUACGAAGUUGGUGUGACUAAAAGCCAAAAAAAAAAAAUAAAAAAAAAAACAGCAGAAAGAAGCCAUUGGAUUGAUAGGAUUUGGUUGCUUAUUAUAAGCUCAGAAGCAAAAGCUUACAAAAAGAAUGCCUUAAUUUAUUGGCAACUUAUUAUUGAAAGUGAACUUUUCUUUCUUUUAAAGGCCUUGUAUUGUGUCAUUCUCUAUUGACGAUUUCUUAAAUUAUGGAUGAAACAUUUUGAUUC